Long non-coding RNA from Bombina bombina (fire-bellied toad), 460 nucleotides. RefSeq lists it as uncharacterized. The record is from RefSeq and is a predicted model, not a curated record. The transcript has 4 exons. Lineage: Eukaryota; Metazoa; Chordata; Amphibia; Anura; Bombinatoridae.
AUACCCCCUGCAGUGAUGUCACAGCCCCAGAGACGGGACACUGAAAGAGGAGGCCUGUAAGCCGGAUUGCUCGAUCCAGACGGUAGUGGUUGUGCCCCAGGAGUAUCGGAGGGCUUGGCCGUAUCAGAGGGGCAGGUGAAAUACCACCAUUGAUCCCGAACAGACGGAGAAGGUAGACGAUAGAUUGGACACUUAUGGAGGGGAGGGGGAGUGUCUGCCUGUUCCUGUUUCCCAGACCCUUUCAGUGGGUGUCCCAGUCUAACCUAAUCAACAAUGCUAAACUGGGAGCUUCUAAGGAGAAAAACUAAGAAGAACUAUUUAAGGAGACCUACUGGUCAGAAUAAACUAAUGCAAGAUUCUACCAAUAGGAAGACAUCUUUUCAUCUGCAUGAAAUGAAGAAAGCAACAGGAAUGGAUUGGCACACAGUGAUCUAAUUCAGAAAUUGGAUUUAAGGUUAUA